Molecule: long non-coding RNA, 418 nt
Filed under: Capra hircus (goat)
Lineage: Eukaryota; Metazoa; Chordata; Mammalia; Artiodactyla; Bovidae
Description: lncRNA (ENSCHIG00000007880.1)
Source: RNAcentral
UAACUGCCAAAAAAUGUAAAUUAAAAAUGUGUUUCCUAUUUUUUUUCCUUUCAGGGAAAUCUUGAGGAGUUGGACACUUUUCUUCCUCCAGCAUUAAUUAUUUUGUGGGAGGAGGCUGUACAUUGGUGGGAAUAAAAAGCAAGCAGUUCCUGGCCCAUAAUACUCCAGCCUAGGAUGUCUGACUGAUGGCAUGCUGGCACCAGCAUUGGAGGAAGUGAUGAGCUUCAGCUCCAGGUUCCUGUCCUGAGACCACAGCAGGAUGUGCCUUGGUCAAAGGCUUGGACUCUUGGAUCAUCUGGUGACUUCAGAAUUCUGUUUCAUCCAUUCUUCACUGCUUGAAACAUUCCCCUUUCCUAUACAAGGUAAAUCCAAAAUAUCAGGAGAGUUAACUAUGGCUAAAGCAAUGCAUACUUUCUGC